ACCCUGUCAACGGGUCCUGUACGCGUGGGUGUGUUGUAGGGCGUUGGUCAAACAAUUGUAACAAACUUUGUGAUGAGGGUUGUCAUUCAUGUAGACAAACAGAUGGCAUUUGUGAAUCACAGAACUGUACGAAGUCUCGAUUUGGGGAUGACCGUUGCUUGACUAACUGUACUAAGACUUGCAAAAAUGUAAACGGUACAGUACAAAACAUCAGUCGAAGUGACAAGUGGGGCGUAAAAACUUAUCUACUGGUUGUUGGCGUACCCAUAGCCUGUAUCAUAUUUACAAUGGGCAUUGUUACGCCGUUGGUUUUCAACUGUAUAAAGAAAAAGAGGAAACAGUACGUCCCUUCACUGUACAGAACAAGACGUUCAAGAGACGUUAUUUUCGUUGGUGAAAUAAAUAGUGACGCUUACGCAGAAAUCAUUGAAGAUGAUAUGUGCUCAUACACGUUUUUAGAAAACAGCGACACAACGAAAGAUAUAACCCCAGUUUCAUACAUGACGGUACCUUUUGAUGAAGGCAUUUCUUGCAAUGCAACUUUUGACGAUUCAAUGCCAACUUAUCAAAGUUUGGAAGAGUAUGUAGCACAAGAUGAUUUAAAUCGUUCUCAGAUUUCAACUAUGAACGGGGAAUAUUUGACCGUAGUACACGAGUGGCCAACAGAACCUAAAACCACCAUAUAAGGAGUACCCAGGGUCUUUUCUGCAAUAACAAGGCAAAGCACAUCUAAAUCGUUAGCCAGACUUCAUGGGUAAUGCUUGUGGUAGUUGUUUUCUCACUACCCUGAAGAAUGCCCUGCUUCAAGACUAUAUCUCCUUUGUGCUAAGCAGCAGUUCAGCAAUUAUUAAUAUUUCUCUAUCUUCUGUGACACCAUCCUACUGACUUUCCCCUGGACCCACCAAAAAUUCCAGUUCCCACCAAAUAUAUUUAGUGAACGAAAUUUGAACACCAAAAUUAAUGAGGAAAGGACAUUUAUUCCGUACAUUUAUGAAAAGUUGACUGUAAAAUGUAUUCUUUAACUUCAAUUGUUGAUUGAGUUGUUUAUAAUUUAUUUAUUAUUUAUGUCAUAUAAUACAUUUUGUUAGCUUUUAAUUGUGUAUAUUGACAUCUGCAUCUCCGAGUUUUAUCAGUUAAAGUGAUUACAUGCUUCAGUUUUGCAUUCAAAGCAAGCCAAAGUCCUCCAAGGGGCUUCCUGUUUGCUUUGUAUUUGAAAGGUCCUAAGCUGUCAACUUUGUUAUCAAAGGUCAAUACUGUUAAUACAAAUUGUAUUGUUAUUUAUAAUUCUUUUCACUUCCGGAAAGUUUAGCAUGUUUACCAAAGAUGGACA
This is a long non-coding RNA of Mya arenaria, 1330 nucleotides long. RefSeq lists it as uncharacterized. The transcript is spliced from 5 exons. Lineage: Eukaryota; Metazoa; Mollusca; Bivalvia; Myida; Myidae. The record is from RefSeq and is a predicted model, not a curated record.